GUGCUCGCUUCGGACAGCACAUAUACUAAAAUUGGAACGAUACAGAGAAGAUUAGCAUUGGCCCCUGCACAAGGAUGACACGCAAA
This 86-nucleotide small nuclear RNA is filed under the name Bison bison bison. The record is from RNAcentral. Lineage: Eukaryota; Metazoa; Chordata; Mammalia; Artiodactyla; Bovidae.